Molecule: ribosomal RNA, 464 nt
Filed under: uncultured bacterium
Lineage: Bacteria
Description: partial 16S ribosomal RNA
Rfam family: Bacterial small subunit ribosomal RNA
Source: RNAcentral
CUACGGGUGGCUGCAGUGGGGAAUAUUGCACAAUGGGCGCAAGCCUGAUGCAGCCAUGCCGCGUGUAUGAAGAAGGCCUUCGGGUUGUAAAGUACUUUCAGCGGGGAGGAAGGGAGUAAAGUUAAUACCUUUGCUCAUUGACGUUACCCGCAGAAGAAGCACCGGCUAACUCCGUGCCGGCAGCCGCGGUAAUACGGAGGGUGCAAGCGUUAAUCGGAAUUACUGGGCGUAAAGCGCACGCAGGCGGUUUGUUAAGUCAGAUGUGAAAUCCCCGGGCUCAACCUGGGAACUGCAUCUGAUACUGGCAAGCUAGAGUCUCGUAGAGGGGGGUAGAAUUCCAGGUGUAGCGGUGAAAUGCGUAGAGAUCUGGAGGAAUACCGGUGGCGAAGGCGGCCCCCUGGACGAAGACUGACGCUCAGGUGCGAAAGCGUGGGGAGCAAACAGGAUUAGAUACCCCCGUAGUC